ACAUCUUAAACAUCGGUUCCCGUAAGAUCACCGAAGUUAAGCAACGUCGAGUCUGGUCAGUACCUAAAUGGGUGACUGCUUGGGAAUGCCUGGUG
Acanthosepion pharaonis is the source of this 95-nucleotide non-coding RNA. The record is from the annotation of a GenBank genome assembly. NCBI's taxonomy places the organism in Eukaryota, Metazoa, Mollusca, Cephalopoda, Sepiida, Sepiidae.